Molecule: ribosomal RNA, 484 nt
Filed under: uncultured bacterium
Lineage: Bacteria
Description: partial 16S ribosomal RNA
Rfam family: Bacterial small subunit ribosomal RNA
Source: RNAcentral
AUUGAACGCUGGCGGCAGGCCUAACACAUGCAAGUCGAGCGGAUGAAGGGAGCUUGCUCCUGGAUUCAGCGGCGGACGGGUGAGUAAUGCCUAGGAAUCUGCCUGGUAGUGGGGGAUAACGUCCGGAAACGGGCGCUAAUACCGCAUACGUCCUGAGGGAGAAAGUGGGGGAUCUUCGGACCUCACGCUAUCAGAUGAGCCUAGGUCGGAUUAGCUAGUUGGUGGGGUAAAGGCCUACCAAGGCGACGAUCCGUAACUGGUCUGAGAGGAUGAUCAGUCACACUGGAACUGAGACACGGUCCAGACUCCUACGGGAGGCAGCAGUGGGGAAUAUUGGACAAUGGGCGAAAGCCUGAUCCAGCCAUGCCGCGUGUGUGAAGAAGGUCUUCGGAUUGUAAAGCACUUUAAGUUGGGAGGAAGGGCAGUAAGUUAAUACCUUGCUGAUUUGACGUUACCAACAGAAUAAGCACCGGCUAACUUCGUG